UACGUAGGGGGCAAGCGUUGUCCGGAAUCAUUGGGCGUAAAGCGCGCGUAGGCGGCCCGGUAAGUCCGUUGUGAAAGUCAAAGGCUCAACCUUUGAACGCCGAUGGAUACUGCCGGGCUAGAGUCCGGAAGAGGCGAGUGGAAUUCCUGGUGUAGCGGUGGAAUGCGUAGAGAUCAGCAGGAACACCCGUGGCGAAGGCGGCCCCCUGGGCCGUACCUGACGCUGAGGAGCGAAAGCGUGGGGAGCAAACAGG
This 253-nucleotide ribosomal RNA is filed under the name uncultured bacterium. RNAcentral's name for it is "partial 16S ribosomal RNA". It matches the Rfam family "Bacterial small subunit ribosomal RNA", at positions 524 to 776 of the family's 1533-position model. The record is from RNAcentral.